RNAcentral lists this ribosomal RNA (354 nucleotides) under uncultured soil bacterium. RNAcentral describes it as "bacterial SSU rRNA". It matches the Rfam family "Bacterial small subunit ribosomal RNA", at positions 26 to 371 of the family's 1533-position model. The record is from RNAcentral.
AGAGUGAACGCUGGCGGUAGGCCUAACACAUGCAAGUCGAACGGCAGCACAGUAGGAGCUUGCUCUUACGGGUGGCGAGUGGCGGACGGGUGAGGAAUACAUCGGAAUCUACCUUUUGGUGGGGGAUAACGUAGGGAAACUUACGCUAAUACCGCAUACGCCCUUCGGGGGAAAGCCGGGGACCAGCAAUGGCCUGGUGCUGAUAGAUGAGCCGAUGUCGGAUUAGCUAGUUGGUGAGGUAAUGGCUCACCAAGGCGACGAUCCGUAGCUGGUCUGAGAGGAUGAUCAGCCACACUGGAACUGAGACACGGUCCAGACUCCUACGGGGAGCAGCAGGUGGGGAAUAUUGGACAA